UAAGGUACGGAGCCGAAGGGAAACCGAGUCUGAAUAGGGCGACUAGUUGCAUGCCGUAGACCCGAAACCGGGUGACCUAUCCAUGGCCAGGUUGAAGCGAGGGUAAAACCUCGUGGAGGACCGAACCACGUUGCUGUUGAAAAAGCAUGGGAUGAGCUGUGGAUAGCGGAGAAAUUCCAAUCGAACCCGGAGAUAGCUGGUUCUCUCCGAAAUAGCUUUAGGGCUAGCGUCGAGUAUGAGUAGUGGAGGUAGAAGCACUGAAUGGGCUAGGGGGCAUAGCGCUUACCGAACCUUAUCAAACUCCGAAUGCCACAUACUUUGAGCUCGGCAGUCAGACUACGAAUGAUAAGAAUCCGUGGUCAAAAGGGAAACAGCCCAGAUCGUCAGCUAAGGUCCCAAAGUGUAAGUUAAGUGGGAAAGGAUGUGAGAUUUCUAAGACAACUAGGAUGUUGGCUUAGAAGCAGCCAUUCAUUAAAAGAGUGCGUAAUAGCUCACUAGUCGAGAGAUCUUGCGCCGAAAAUGUAACGGGGCUAAACUUACCACCGAAGCUACGGGCUUGAACUUAGUUCAAGCGGUAGGAGAGCGUCGUAACCGGGCUGAAGUCGUACCGUAAGGAGCGGUGGACUGGUUACGAGUGAGAAUGUUGGCAUCAGUAGCGAGAUGUGGGUGAGAAUCCCACAGGCCGAAAACCUAAGGUUUCCUCAGGAAGGUUCGUCCGCUGAGGGUUAGUCGGGACCUAAGCGAGGCCGAAAGGCGUAGGUGAUGGACAACUGGUUGAUAUUCCAGUACCACUACCAUCGUUAUUAUCGAUGGCGUGACGCAGGAGGAUAGUGUGUGCUAGCUAUUGGAUGCUAGUCUAAGCGUUUAGGCAGUGAGAGUAGGCAAAUCCGCUCUCAUAAUGCUGAGGCGUGAUGGGGAAGGUUCCACGGAACCGAAGUACAUGAUUCCACGCUGCCAAGAAAAGCGUCUAGAGAGAGAAGUAGUGCCCGUACCGCAAACCGACACAGGUAGGUGAGGAGAGAAUCCUAAGGCCGGCGGAAGAAUUACAGUUAAGGAACUCGGCAAAUUGACCCCGUAAGUUCGCGAGAAGGGGUGCCUACGAGAGUAGGCCGCAGAGAAUAGGCCCAAGCAACUGUUUAGCAAAAACACAGGUCUCUGCUAAAGCGUAAGCUGAUGUAUAGGGGCUGACGCCUGCCCGGUGCUGGAAGGUUAAGGGGAACACUUAGCGCAAGCGAAGGUGUGAACUUAAGCCCCAGUAAACGGCGGCCGUAACUAUAACGUCCUAAGGUAGCGAAAUUCCUUGUCAGGUAAGUUCUGACCCGCACGAAUGGCGUAAUGACUUGGGCACUGUCUCAACUGUAAAUCCGGCGAAGUUGUAGUGCGAGUGAAGAUGCUCGCUACCCGCGAUUGGACGGAAAGACCCCGUAGAGCUUUACUGUAGCUUAGCAUUGAGUUUUGGUAUUGUCUGUACAGGAUAGGUGGGAGACUAGGAAACCAGGGCGUCAGCCUUGGUGGAGUCAACCUUGGGAUACCACCCUGACAGUACUGAAAUUCUAACUGGCGGCCAUGAAUCUGGUCACAGGACAUUGUUAGGUGGGCAGUUUGACUGGGGCGGUCGCCUCCUAAAAAGUAACGGAGGCGCCCAAAGGUUCCCUCAGAACGGUCGGAAAUCGUUCGAAGAGUGCAAAGGCAGAAGGGAGCCUGACUGCGACACCCACAAGUGGAGCAGGGACGAAAGUCGGGCUUAGUGAUCCGGUGGUACCUCGUGGGAGGGCCAUCGCUCAACGGAUAAAAGCUACCUCGGGGAUAACAGGCUGAUCUCCCCCAAGAGUCCACAUCGACGGGGAGGUUUGGCACCUCGAUGUCGGCUCGUCGCAUCCUGGGGCUGAAGUAGGUCCCAAGGGUUGGGCUGUUCGCCCAUUAAAGCGGCACGCGAGCUGGGUUCAGAACGUCGUGAGACAGUUCGGUCCCUAUCCGUCGCGGGCGUAGGAAAUUUGAGAGGAGCUGUCCUUAGUACGAGAGGACCGGGAUGGACUGACCUCUGGUGUACCAGUUGUUCCGCCAGGAGCACAGCUGGGUAGCUAAGUCGGGAAUGGAUAAACGCUGAAAGCAUCUAAGCGUGAAGCCAACCUCAAGAUGAGAUUUCCCAUAGCGUAAGCUAGUAAGAUCCCUUGAAGAACACAAGGUUGAUAGGUCGGGGGUGUAAGCAUGGUAACAUGUUCAGCUGACCGAUACUAAUAGAUCGAGGGCUUGACCAA
Molecule: ribosomal RNA, 2258 nt
Filed under: Clostridium perfringens
Lineage: Bacteria; Bacillati; Bacillota; Clostridia; Eubacteriales; Clostridiaceae
Description: bacterial LSU rRNA
Rfam family: Bacterial large subunit ribosomal RNA
Source: RNAcentral